RNAcentral lists this ribosomal RNA (440 nucleotides) under uncultured bacterium. RNAcentral's name for it is "partial 16S ribosomal RNA". It matches the Rfam family "Bacterial small subunit ribosomal RNA", at positions 338 to 795 of the family's 1533-position model. The record is from RNAcentral.
CCUACGGGAGGCAGCAGUGAGGGAUAUUGGUCAAUGGGGGAAACCCUGAACCAGCAACGCCGCGUGAGGGAAGACGGUUCUCGGAUUGUAAACCUCUGUCCUUUGUGAAGUUACUGACGUUAGCAGAGGAGGAAGCUCCGGCUAACUACGUUCCAGCAGCCGCGGUAAUACGUAGGGAGCAAGCGUUGUCCGGAUUUACUGGGGGUAAAGGGUGCGUAGGCGGGCUUGCAAGUCAGAAGUGAAAUCUAUGGGCUUAACCCAUAAACUGCUUUUGAAACUGUAAGUCUUGAGUGAAGUAGAGGUAGGCGGAAUUCCCGGUGUAGCGGUGAAAUGCGUAGAGAUUGGGAGGAACACCAGUGGCGAAGGCAGCCUGCUGGGCUUUAACUGACGCUGAGGCACGAAAGCGUGGGUAGCAAACAGGAUUAGAGACCCUAGUAGUC